CCUACGGGAGGCAGCAGUGAGGAAUAUUGGUCAAUGGACGGAAGCCUGAACCAGCCAAGCCGCGUGCAGGAAGAAGGCUCCAUGCGUCGUAAACUUCUUUUGUCGGGGGGCAAACGGCGCCACGCGUGUCUUUCUGAGUGUACCCUACGAAAAAGCAUCGGCUAACUCCGUGCCAGCAGCCGCGGUAAUACGGAGGAUUCAAGCGUUAUCCGGAUUUAUUGGGUUUUAAGGGUGCGUAGGCGGUCCGGUAAGUCAGCGGUUAAAACCCGAGGCUCAACCCCGGGGUAGCCGCUGAUACUGUUGGACUAGAGAGGGGGAGCGGUAGGCGGAAUGUGCGGUGUAGCGGUGAAAUGCAUAGAGAUCGUGCAGAACGCCGAUUGCGAAGGCAGCGUACCGGG
Molecule: ribosomal RNA, 398 nt
Filed under: uncultured bacterium
Lineage: Bacteria
Description: partial 16S ribosomal RNA
Rfam family: Bacterial small subunit ribosomal RNA
Source: RNAcentral